RNAcentral lists this ribosomal RNA (264 nucleotides) under uncultured Staphylococcus sp. RNAcentral's name for it is "partial 16S ribosomal RNA". It matches the Rfam family "Bacterial small subunit ribosomal RNA", at positions 98 to 356 of the family's 1533-position model. The record is from RNAcentral. Lineage: Bacteria; Bacillati; Bacillota; Bacilli; Caryophanales; Staphylococcaceae.
CGGGACGGGUGAGUAACACGUGGAUAACCUACCUAUAAGACUGGGAUAACUUCGGGAAACCGGAGCUAAUACCGGAUAAUAUAUUGAACCGCAUGGUUCAAUAGCGAAAGACGGUUUUGCUGUCACUUAUAGAUGGAUCCGCGCUGCAUUAGCUAGUUGGUAAGGUAACGGCUUACCAAGGCAACGAUGCGUAGCCGACCUGAGAGGGUGAUCGGCCACACUGGAACUGAGACACGGUCCAGACUCCUACGGGAGGCAGCAGCG